Molecule: ribosomal RNA, 259 nt
Filed under: uncultured bacterium
Lineage: Bacteria
Description: partial 16S ribosomal RNA
Rfam family: Bacterial small subunit ribosomal RNA
Source: RNAcentral
AAAGAGAAGCAAAGCCGCGAGGUAGAGCAAAUCUCAAAAAAACAUCUCAGUUCAGACUGCAGGCUGCAACUCGCCUGCACGAAGUCGGAAUUGCUAGUAAUCGUAGGUCAGCAUACUACGGUGAAUACGUUCCCGGGCCUUGUACACACCGCCCGUCAAACCAUGAGAGUUGGCAACACCCGAAGUCGGUAGUCUAACCGCAAGGAGGACGCCGCCGAAGGUGGGGUUGAUGAUUAGGGUUAAGUCGUAACAAGGUACC